AGCCUGAACGCUGGCGGCGUGGCUAAGACAUGCAAGUCGAACGGUGUAGCAAUACACAGUGGCGAACGGGUGAGUAAUGUAUCGCUAACGUACCCUUAUGCCAGGGAUAGCCGGGGGAAACUCCGGGUAAUACCUGAUGAAAUUCCUUUUUCGCAUGGAAAAGGACUCAAAGGAGCAAUCCGCAAAAGGAGCGGGCGAUAUCGUAUCAGCUAGUUGGUGAGGUAACGGCUCACCAAGGCGACGACGCGUAGCCGGGCUGAGAGGUCGGCCGGCCACAUUGGGACUGAGACACUGCCCAGACUCCUACGGGGGCUGCAGUAACGAAUCUUCCGCAAUGCACGCAAGUGUGACGGAGCGACGCCGCGUGUGGGACGAAGUCCUUCGGGAUGUAAACCACUGUCAGGGGUAAGAAAGUUCUGAUCUACCCCAGAGGAAGGCACGGCUAACUCUGCGCCAGCAGCCGC
RNAcentral lists this ribosomal RNA (464 nucleotides) under uncultured bacterium. RNAcentral's name for it is "SSU rRNA". It matches the Rfam family "Bacterial small subunit ribosomal RNA", at positions 26 to 518 of the family's 1533-position model. The record is from RNAcentral.